GCCUAACGGCGACCUGUUGCUCCGCCUAACGCCCGAGCUGUUGCUCCGCCUAACGCCUGACCUGUGCUCGCCUCACGCUCGACCUGCUGCUCCGCCUCACGCCCAGCCUGUUGAUCGGUGGACGGGAAAGCGCGCAUGGCAUCGGAAGGAGCUUGAAAAGUAUAAGGUGAUGACAGUAAGUAACGUUACUGUGAUUUGUGAUCUUUCUGGGGUGUUAACUGUAAAGCAAUGGAUAAUUGCGUGAAAAUCAAACUAAAAGAAUGCAAUCUUGAGG
Molecule: non-coding RNA, 274 nt
Organism: Danio rerio (zebrafish)
Lineage: Eukaryota; Metazoa; Chordata; Actinopteri; Cypriniformes; Danionidae
Source: RefSeq, a predicted model, not a curated record